Non-coding RNA from Arabidopsis thaliana (thale cress), 199 nucleotides. The record is from RefSeq. NCBI's taxonomy places the organism in Eukaryota, Viridiplantae, Streptophyta, Magnoliopsida, Brassicales, Brassicaceae.
AGAUGGGGUGUCAGAUAUUGACAAUGGAGGCCCAAAUGAAGACAAGAAGAAUGGGAAAUUAGGGAUUGGUCUCAACUUUGGGACUAUGUUUGUCUGAAGUUGAAAAAAGCCACCAAAUGUGCCCAUUCGUGUAUUUUUUUUUAACACCCCAACAUAAUGUCCCACCAUGAAGGGGACAUCUCCCCUUAGCUAUCCCUUU